GUUCUCUGGGUUUGCAACAAUGACCUUCCAGAAACACCCUGAGCUCAGUCUGGCUCGAGCCUCAUAGUCUCUGCUUGGCCAUCUGGCAAAGAGGCCCUGCUGGUGCCAAAGUAACCGACCCCACCUGAGAUCUGAUCCAAGUCACCUGACAUGGAAUCCUGCCUCAUCCUGCAAUGGGACAGCCCAAGAGUUCCCAAGGAUUUGCUAUAAGAGUCCAGGCUAGUGCUGUGUUUCUGACAAACUUGACUGUGUAAAUUUCUUUCCAUGGACACUGAAAAAAUAUAUAGGCUUAAAUCUAUAUACAUGCAUAAAUACCUCAAUACAGACUACAUUGUUUCAAUUUAAAUCAUUUUUCAUUCAUUUCUUUUUAUCACUAAAGUUCUAAACAGUACAUCCAAUGUACCCACUGAGCUUUGUUUCUAAACAGAGAGGAUUAAUAUUAUUAAGACUUUUUAGAGUAAAUGCUUUGGAGACU
Molecule: long non-coding RNA, 475 nt
Filed under: Bos taurus (domestic cattle)
Lineage: Eukaryota; Metazoa; Chordata; Mammalia; Artiodactyla; Bovidae
Description: long non-coding RNA NONBTAT022395
Source: RNAcentral